This 920-nucleotide ribosomal RNA is filed under the name uncultured bacterium. Its description in RNAcentral is "bacterial SSU rRNA". It matches the Rfam family "Bacterial small subunit ribosomal RNA", at positions 579 to 1502 of the family's 1533-position model. The record is from RNAcentral.
CAUGGUAAGCCAGAUGUGAAAGCCUUGGGCUUAACCCGAGGAUUGCAUUUGGAACUAUCAAGCUAGAGUACAGGAGAGGAAAGCGGAAUUCCUAGUGUAGCGGUGAAAUGCGUAGAUAUUAGGAAGAACACCAGUGGCGAAGGCGGCUUUCUGGACUGAAACUGACGCUGAGGCUCGAAAGCGUGGGGAGCAAACAGGAUUAGAUACCCUGGUAGUCCACGCCGUAAACGAUGUGUGCUAGGUGUCGGGGAGGAAUCCUCGGUGCCGCAGCUAACGCAAUAGGCACUCCACCUGGGGAGUACGACCGCAAGGUUGAAACUCAAAGGAAUUGACGGGGGCCCGCACAAGCGGUGGAGCAUGUGGUUUAAUUCGAAGCAACGCGAAGAACCUUACCAAGGCUUGACAUCCCGAUGACCGCUCUAGAGAUAGAGCUUCUCUUCGGAGCAUCGGUGACAGGUGGUGCAUGGUUGUCGUCAGCUCGUGUCGUGAGAUGUUGGGUCAAGUCCCGCAACGAGCGCAACCCUUAUCUUCAGUAGCCAUCAUUCAGUUGGGCACUCUGGAGAGACUGCCGUGGAUAACACGGAGGAAGGUGGGGAUGACGUCAAAUCAUCAUGCCCCUUAUGUCUUGGGCUACACACGUGCUACAAUGGCUGGUAACAAAGUGACGCGAAACGGCGACGUUAAGCAAAUCACAAAAACCCAGUCCCAGUUCGGAUUGUAGUCUGCAACUCGACUACAUGAAGCUGGAAUCGCUAGUAAUCGCGAAUCAGCAUGUCGCGGUGAAUACGUUCCCGGGCCUUGUACACACCGCCCGUCACACCAUGGGAGUUGGAAGCACCCGAAGUCGGUGACCUAACCGUAAGGAAGGAGCCGCCGAAGGUGAAGCCAGUGACUGGGGUGAAGUCGUAACAAGGUAACCA